This 251-nucleotide ribosomal RNA is filed under the name uncultured bacterium. RNAcentral's name for it is "partial 16S ribosomal RNA". It matches the Rfam family "Bacterial small subunit ribosomal RNA", at positions 524 to 773 of the family's 1533-position model. The record is from RNAcentral.
UACGAAGGGGGCUAGCGUUGCUCGGAAUGACUGGGCGUAAAGGGCGCGUAGGCGGCUUGCACAGUCAGGCGUGAAAUUCCUGGGCUCAACCUGGGGACUGCGCUUGAGACGUGUGGGCUUGAGUGGGGAAGAGGGUCGUGGAAUUCCCAGUGUAGAGGUGAAAUUCGUAGAUAUUCGCAAGAACACCAGUGGCGAAGGCGGCUCACUGGCUCAUUACUGACGCUGAUGCACGAAAGCGUGGGGGAGCAAAC